AGUGAACGCUGGCGGUAGGCCUAACACAUGCAAGUCGAACGGCAGCACAGUAAGAGCUUGCUCUUACGGGUGGCGAGUGGCGGACGGGUGAGGAAUACAUCGGAAUCUACUUUUUCGUGGGGGAUAACGUAGGUAAACUUACUCUAAUACCGCAUACGACCUACGGUUGAAAGCAGGGGAUCUUCUGACCUUGCGCGAUUGAAUGAGCCGAUGUCGGAUUAGCUAGUUGGCGGGGUAAAGGCCCACCAAGGCGAGGAUCCGUAGCUGGUCUGAGAGGAUGAUCAGCCACACUGGAACUGAGACACGGUCCAGACUCCUACGGGAGGCAGCAGUGGGGAAUAUUGGACAAUGGGCGCAAGCCUGAUCCAGCCAUACCGCGUGGGUGAAGAAGGCCUUCGGGUUGUAAAGCCCUUUUGUUGGGAAAGAAAAGCAGCAGGUUAAUACCCCGCUGUUCUGACGGUACCCAAAGAAUAAGCACCGGCUAACUUCGUG
RNAcentral lists this ribosomal RNA (492 nucleotides) under uncultured bacterium. Its description in RNAcentral is "partial 16S ribosomal RNA". It matches the Rfam family "Bacterial small subunit ribosomal RNA", at positions 29 to 507 of the family's 1533-position model. The record is from RNAcentral.